GGAAGGAUCAUUACCGAGUUGAUUCGAGCUCCGGCUCGAACUCUCCCACCCCAUGUGUACCUACCUCUGUUGCUUUGGCGGGCCGCGGUCCUCCGCACCGACCCCCGUUCGGGGGCCGGCCAGCGCCCGCCAGAGGACCACAAAACUCCAGUCAGUAAACGUCGCAGUCUGAGAAACAAGUUAAUAAACUAAAACUUUCAACAACGGAUCUCUUGGUUCUGGCAUCGAUGAAGAACGCAGCGAAAUGCGAUAAGUAAUGUGAAUUGCAGAAUUCAGUGAAUCAUCGAAUCUUUGAACGCACAUUGCGCCCCUUGGUAUUCCGAGGGGCAUGCCUGUUCGAGCGUCAUUUCAACCCUCAAGCUCUGCUUGGUAUUGGGCUCCGUCCUCCGCGGACGCGCCUCGAAGACCUCGGCGGUGGCGUCUUGCCUCAAGCGUAGUAGAAAACACCUCGCUUUGGAGCGCAUGGCGUCGCCCGCCGGACGAACCUUUGAAUUUUUCUCAAGGUUGACCUCGGAU
RNAcentral lists this ribosomal RNA (516 nucleotides) under Neofusicoccum australe. Its description in RNAcentral is "eukaryotic LSU rRNA". The stretch from base 193 to 346 matches the Rfam family "5.8S ribosomal RNA". Lineage: Eukaryota; Fungi; Ascomycota; Dothideomycetes; Botryosphaeriales; Botryosphaeriaceae. The record is from RNAcentral.